Molecule: long non-coding RNA, 1875 nt
Filed under: Manihot esculenta (cassava)
Lineage: Eukaryota; Viridiplantae; Streptophyta; Magnoliopsida; Malpighiales; Euphorbiaceae
Description: long non-coding RNA (MESC_LNC007222)
Source: RNAcentral
AAGAAUAAGAGUAAGAGAAAAAUGGAAAGUAAGAGAUCCAGAUUCAGAGAAGAGAGGUUGGAGAAUUAAGGAAGAGAGCUAGAGAGAGAGUUGCUAUGAGAUGUUAUAGCCUCAGGUUUUCAUAACCAGGGAUAGUGAGAAUUGAUUUCUCAAGAAGAGUAAGAGUAAGAGGAAGUAAGAAAAGAGCAAGAAUAAGAAGGAAAGUGAGAGAGAAUAGAAAAGUAAGUGAAUCAGAUCAAAGUAAAAGGAAGAAGAGAGAUAGAGUGAAGUAGAAGAGUAACAGUAAGUAUGGAAAAAUAGAAGGAUGAUAUCGAUCAGAGUAAGAGGAAAAGAAAAGGAAGGUAAGGUCAGAAAGAGAUUAGAAUUAGUCUGGGAUUAGUGGUAGUUGAGGCUGAGGAAAAAGGGUGAGCCUUUUCUUCAGUAAAUUCCCGAGGGAAGUUCCAUUAGCUUUAGCUUGGAUCUUCACCCUGACUUAGUAGGAGGCUAACACAUCAUACACGGUGACGUCAGGUACGUUCACUUGGAAAUGUACAGAUGUGUAUGCUGUUGGUUUUGGACCCCAGUGUUUCACUUUCCUUGUUGUUUAUGAGCCAUUGAUAGCGUGGAUUUGAUGACUUCUGGGCUUAGAGUGUUUUUCUCAGGGUCAGUAGACCUGAAUAUGAUCCAUCUGAUGCAGAGUCAGUCAGUUUAGUUCAGAGUUUAUACAGAGUAGGCGAUGCGAUCCAGCUGACCUUAUGGUUCUAGGGGUGACUGAUGAUGUCAACCUAGGGCGGAUUGGCUAGCUACUCAUAGUACUACCUGUGUCCGCAGAGACAAGGUAGGAGAGUUUAGAGCUCAGGAUGGAUCAAUAGUUAGUCCUUAGAAAGGACAGAGUACAGUAUAGAUGCCUAGAAGUUAAUAUCAGUCCUGCAGGCUCAUCGUUUAUACAGGAAAGGUGGUCAGAGGGUUCUAGCUCUGGUGAGCAAGUUUGUCAGGACAGGGAAUCAACCUCAGUGCCCUUUACUAGAGAGAGUUCUAGAUGUUUCCCAGAUGAUCUGUCAGGUUUUCCAUCUGUUAGGGAAUUAGAGUUGAGAAUAGGAGUGGUAUCUGAACGCGGAACCAUUUCUUUUCUUCUACCCUACAGGAUGGCACCUGCAGAGUUCAAAGAAUAGUUAAAGCAGAAGCGUAGUAGAUAAAGAUUUUAUCCGACUUAGUACCUCACCCUGGAAUACUCCAGUGUUGUUGUGGAAAACGAAGGAUAGACUCUUGAGAUUUUGUUAUAACUGUUCACAGUUAACAAGGUCACUACUAAGCAAUUACAGGUGUUCCUAGUUAGCAUAGUUGAUCUACUAACUGUUCUAAUCAAAGGGGAUUGGAUUACAGAUUGGUAUGAUCAGAGUACAGAUUGGAGCAGUAGCCUGUUGAGAAUUAAAGAUUAAGUUAGUUUAAUAAAGAAGAGGAAAGGCAGGCAAGGAUUAGGAGUACAGGUUGAUAUCAGCUUUGUAUCAAACCUACAGAUUGGUAGAAAAGAUUGGUGACCUAUUGGAACUGUUAGUAGAAAUUGGUUGUGUUUUCAGUGUGAGAACAGAUUGCUAAAAUCUAUCGAGAUUAAAGAGUGAGAAAUUCACCAAGAGAAUAGUUUAGUUAAAAUAGAAAAGAGGACAGUUGAGAAAAGAUAAAGAGAAAGAGGAGUAAAGAUCAGAGUAGCGCAGCGAAAGCUGUGGAGUUCAGAAAAAGGUUAUGAGUAUGAACUCAGAUCAGGAGAGUAGAGGUACAGAUUCUCUCUUUAGAGAGAAGUGAUAGGCUUUACUUGCUUAUCUGUUUGUUUUUAACAUUCGAGGACGAAUGUUUUAUAAGGGGGGAAGAAUGUAAUACCCGGCUAGUUCAGACAUCGGA